AAGAGACAUUGCCCUUCGGGGUAUACCUCCCACCCUUUGUUUAUUAUACCUUUGUUGCUUUGGCGGGCCCGUCCUCGGACCACCGGCUUCUGCUGGUCAGUGCCCGCCAGAGGACCUAAAACUCUGUUUGUUAAUAUUGUCUGAGUACUAUAUAAUAGUUA
Molecule: unclassified non-coding RNA, 161 nt
Filed under: soil metagenome
Description: partial internal transcribed spacer 1
Source: RNAcentral